UACGUAGGGGGCUAGCGUUGUCCGGAUUUAUUGGGCGUAACGAGCGUGUAGGCGGCCAGGUAGGUCCGUUGUGAAAACUCGAGGCUCAACCUCGAGACGUCGGCGGAAACCCUCUGGCUAGAGUCCGGAAGAGGAGAGUGGAAUUCCUGGUGUAGCGGUGAAAUGCGCAGAUAUCAGGAAGAACACCCGUGGCGAAGGCGGCUCUCUGGGACGGUACUGACGCUGAGGUGCGAAAGCGUGGGGAGCGAACAGG
RNAcentral lists this ribosomal RNA (253 nucleotides) under uncultured bacterium. RNAcentral's name for it is "partial 16S ribosomal RNA". It matches the Rfam family "Bacterial small subunit ribosomal RNA", at positions 524 to 776 of the family's 1533-position model. The record is from RNAcentral.